UUGAACGCUGGCGGUAUGCUUAACACAUGCAAGUCGAUCGGUAACAGGCCUUCGGGCGCUGACGAGUGGCGGACGGGUGAGUAACGCGUAGGAAUCUGCCUCGUAGUGGGGGACAACGUGGGGAAACUCACGCUAAUACCGCAUACGCCCUAAGGGGGAAAGGAGGGGAUCUUCGGACCUUUCGCUAUGAGAUGAGCCUGCGUUAGAUUAGCUAGUUGGUAGGGUAAAGGCCUACCAGGGCGACGAUCUAUAGCUGGUCUGAGAGGACGAUCAGCCACACUGGGACUGAGACACGGCCCAAACUCCUACGGGAGGCAGCAGUGGGGAAUAUUGGACAAUGGGCGAAAGCCUGAUCCAGCAAUACCGCGUGUGUGAAGAAGGCCUUAGGGUUGUAAAGCACUUUCAAUUGGGAGGAAAACCUACCGGUCAAUACCCGGUAGCUUGACAUUACCUUUAGAAGAAGCACCGGCUAAC
This 474-nucleotide ribosomal RNA is filed under the name uncultured bacterium. RNAcentral's name for it is "bacterial SSU rRNA". It matches the Rfam family "Bacterial small subunit ribosomal RNA", at positions 30 to 501 of the family's 1533-position model. The record is from RNAcentral.